GUCGAGCGCCCACUUCGGUGGGAGCGGCAGACGGGUGAGUAACGCGUGGGAACCUACCUAGUAGUACGGAAUAGCCCUGGGAAACUGGGUGUAAUACCGUAUAAGCCCCUUGGGGGAAAGAUUUAUCGCUAUUAGAUGGGCCCGCGUUGGAUUAGCUAGUUGGUGAGGUAAUGGCUCACCAAGGCGACGAUCUAUAGCUGGUCUGAGAGGAUGAUCAGCCACACUGGGACUGAGACACGGCCCAGACUCCUACGGGAGGCAGCAGUGGGGAAUAUUGGACAAUGGGCGAAAGCCUGAUCCAGCCAUGCCGCGUGAGUGAUGAAGGCCUUAGGGUUGUAAAGCUCUUUCGCUAGAGAAGAUAAUGACGGUAUCUAGUAAAGAAGCCCCGGCUAACUUCGUGCCAGCAGCCGCGGUAAUACGAAGGGGGCUAGCGUUGUUCGGAUUUACUGGGCGUAAAGCGCACGUAGGCGGAUUGACAAGUUAGGGGUGAAAUCCCGAGGCUCAACCUCGGAACUGCCUUUAAAACUGUCAGUCUAGAGACCGGAAGAGGUAAGUGGAAUUCCUAGUGUAGAGGUGGAAUUCGUAGAUAUUAGGAAGAACACCAGUGGCGAAGGCGGCUUACUGGUCCGGUACUGACGCUGAGGUGCGAAAGCGUGGGGAGCGAACAGGAUUAGAUACCCUGGUAGUCCACGCCGUAAACGAUGGAAGCUAGCCGUUGGGGGAUUUAUCCCGCAGUAGCGCAGCUAACGCAUUAAGCUUCCCGCCUGGGGAGUACGGUCGCAAGAUUAAAACUCAAAGGAAUUGACGGGGGCCCGC
Molecule: ribosomal RNA, 816 nt
Filed under: uncultured Alphaproteobacteria bacterium
Lineage: Bacteria; Pseudomonadati; Pseudomonadota; Alphaproteobacteria
Description: bacterial SSU rRNA
Rfam family: Bacterial small subunit ribosomal RNA
Source: RNAcentral